UACGGAGGGAGCUAGCGUUAUUCGGAAUUACUGGGCGUAAAGCGCACGUAGGCGGCUUUGUAAGUAAGAGGUGAAAGCCUGGAGCUCAACUCCAGAAUAGCCUUUUAGACUGCAUCGCUUGAAUCAUGGAGAGGUGAGUGGAAUUCCGAGUGUAGAGGUGAAAUUCGUAGAUAUUCGGAAGAACACCAGUGGCGAAGGCGGCUCACUGGACAUGUAUUGACGCUGAGGAGCGAAAGCGUGGGGAGCGAACAGG
Molecule: ribosomal RNA, 253 nt
Filed under: uncultured bacterium
Lineage: Bacteria
Description: partial 16S ribosomal RNA
Rfam family: Bacterial small subunit ribosomal RNA
Source: RNAcentral